This 446-nucleotide long non-coding RNA is filed under the name Salmo salar (Atlantic salmon). Its description in RNAcentral is "lncRNA (ENSSSAG00000084844.1)". Lineage: Eukaryota; Metazoa; Chordata; Actinopteri; Salmoniformes; Salmonidae. The record is from RNAcentral.
GAACAGGGCAGAAAUUGAAGCUUUUACCCAAGCUACAUUUGAAGUCUCAAGUGUAGCCUGUGAAAAAAUACUUUUUUGGUCUCAUUUGCAGUGGCUCUCGUUUUCUGAACUCGAUUAUUUUAGAAUCCCCCCCACCCGUUCCCUCUUCCUCUGGAGACACUGGACUGAAAUCUAGGACCUGAGCCCUAGGACCAUGCCUCAGGACUACCUGGCAUGAUGACUCCUUGCUGUCCCCAGUCCACCUGGCCGUGCUGCUGCUCCAGUUUCAACUGUUCUGCCUGCGGCUAUGGAACCCUGACCUGUUCACCGGACGUGCUUGUUGCACCCUCGACAACUACUAUGAUUAUUAUUAUUUGACCAUGCUGGUCAUUUAUGAACAUUUUAACAUCUUGAUCAUGUUCUGUUAUAAUAUCCACCCGGCACAGCCAGAAGAGGACUGGCCACCC